Melanotaenia boesemani (Boeseman's rainbowfish) is the source of this 549-nucleotide RNA transcript. It is a transcript of the gene named complement C1q-like protein 4, with no coding region annotated. NCBI's taxonomy places the organism in Eukaryota, Metazoa, Chordata, Actinopteri, Atheriniformes, Melanotaeniidae. The transcript is spliced from 2 exons. The record is from RefSeq and is a predicted model, not a curated record.
CCUGCUUGUUUUCUCUCAAGGAAUGUACAUACAUUUUUUUCACCACUCCAGCUUCUAAACCUUAAUGUUGUUCUCAGUUUAUGGAAAGCAAACAAAAGCAGUUUUACAAUGACCAACAUUUUCUUAUUGCAACAUUAAAGGUAAACAGGUCAAAGUACUGUGUUUGGAUGUUAAAGAUUUACAGAAAAUCUUGAAACAAUAUAAAAGCAGGGAAGAACAUCAGAGGUUAGAAGACAGAGCAACACUGAGCGAAGAUGAAUUCCACUAUUUUAUUGACUGUGUUGUUUUUCUGUGGCUUAACUUUGGCCCAGAACAAUGCUGCUGAGACAGAAGUCAUCACUGAAACACAGUCAUGUUUUCCUGACAUGUGUAAGCUCCUACAAGAGUUCGGUGCCAUGAAAGAAAAUCAGAAAGCCAUGGAAACCAGACUGAAGGAGAGCGAAAACCAGAUUCUUGAACUGAAGAGCAAAGGUAGAAGAGCAACCAAGAUAGUAUUUAGUGUUGGAACAAGCGGGAACGGAGCCAUUGGACCCUUCAACACAGAUACAA